GACGAACGCUGGCGGCGGGCUUAACACAUGCAAGUCGAACGGAAAGGCGCUGCUUGCGUGGGAUGCUCGAGUGGCGAACGGGUGAGUAACACGAGAGUAACCUGCCCCUGACUUUGGGAUAACUUCAGGAAACUGGGGCUAAUACCGGAUAGGAGCUCCUGCUGCAUGGUGGGGGUUGGAAAGUUUCGGCGGUUGGGGAUGGACUCGCGGCUUAUCAGCUUGUUGGUGGGGUAGUGGCUGACCAAGGCUUUGACGGGUAGCCGGCCUGAGAGGGUGACCGGCCACAUGGCGAGAGAGAUACGGCACGGAGUCCUGCGGGAGGCAGCAGUGGGGAAUAUUGCACAAUGGGCGGAAGUAGGAUGCAGCAACGCCGCGUGCGGGAUGGUGGCCUUCGGGUUGUAAGCCGCUUUGGCCUGUGACGGAGCGUGAGUGACGGUAAUGGAUAAAGAAGCACCGGCUAACUACGUG
RNAcentral lists this ribosomal RNA (468 nucleotides) under uncultured bacterium. RNAcentral's name for it is "partial 16S ribosomal RNA". It matches the Rfam family "Bacterial small subunit ribosomal RNA", at positions 28 to 507 of the family's 1533-position model. The record is from RNAcentral.